UACUGAAACAUGCAAGAGGGACUCUUGGAGGAAUGACUAAUGUACAGUAAACAUUCAUUCUGCAGUUUCACCAAACAUCAACUGAGAUCCAAGUCAAAUCCAGUUCCACACUGUGAGGAGGAGUCAAUGCAAAACUCAGAUGUCUUCCACCUCUACUUAUCUGACUGCAGAGAGGAUGACAGAGAACAGUGGACACACAGUUUAACAUGAUGGACUAUAGGACAGGACUGCUGCUGUUAACUAUCUGCUGGGCAGGUGUUGAUGGUCAGACUCUGACAGAAUCUGAACCAGUGGUUAAAAGGCCUGGAGAAUCUCACAGAUUGACCUGUACAGCCUCUGGAUUCACAUUCAGCAGCUAUCAUAUGGCCUGGAUCAGACAGGCUCCUGGAAAAGGACUGGAGUGGAUUGCCUGGGUGGAAAAUGAUAAUGACGGGAAACGCUACUCUCAGUCAGUUCAAGGCCGGUUUACCAUCUCCAAAGACAACAGCAGACAGCAGGUGUAUCUGCAGAUGAACAGUCUGAAGACUGAAGAUUCUGCUGUUUAUUAUUGUGCUCGAGAGCCACAGUGACUGGAGUUGGUUGAGCAGCUGUACAAAAUCCUACAGUACUCAUCUUUCAGGCUGGUAGAGUCUGUGCAUUAAGUAUUCAUAGUAUUUGUAUUAUAUAUGAUGAUAUAUGACAUGAUGAUGAUGAUUUUUUAAUACAUAGUUUUAUAUGCUACAUUACAUUUUAUUUAGAUGUAUUUUAGUGAAUAAAUUAAUAAUUGUCUCUCAAUUUAAGUCCAGAAAACUGUUCCUCAUAUUUUAUUACGAAAUAUUAAAAACAUAAAAAACACAAUAAAAUGCACUUGUUGAUAAAAGGGCCAAAGACAGCACAAUCUGGUUGCAGCAAUUCAACUGUUGCAAAUACUAAACAUUUAUAUAAAUUAAGACACUGCAAAUUAUGUGGAUAUAAACUCCAUGAUAAUAUGUGAGUGAAAAAUAUAAUAACUAAAAUAAAAAUGAGUUUCUGGUAUAAAACCA
This is a non-coding RNA of Dicentrarchus labrax (European seabass), 1022 nucleotides long. NCBI's taxonomy places the organism in Eukaryota, Metazoa, Chordata, Actinopteri, Moronidae. The record is from the annotation of a RefSeq genome assembly.